UUUGAUCCUGGCUCAGGACGAACGCUGGCGGCGUGCUUAACACAUGCAAGUCGAACGGUGAAGCGGGUGCUUGCACUCGUGGAUCAGUGGCGAACGGGUGAGUAACACGUGAGUAACCUGCCCUCCACUCUGGGAUAAGCGCUGGAAACGGCGUCUAAUACUGGAUACGACCGACCCUCGCAUGGGGUGUUGGUGGAAAGAUUUAUCGGUGGUGGAUGGACUCGCGGCCUAUCAGCUUGUUGGUGGGGUAAUGGCCUACCAAGGCGACGACGGGUAGCCGGCCUGAGAGGGCGACCGGCCACACUGGGACUGAGACACGGCCCAGACUCCUAACGGGAGGCAGCAGUGGGGAAUAUUGCACAAUGGGCGAAAGCCUGAUGCAGCGACGCCGCGUGAGGGAUGACGGCCUUCGGGUUGUAAACCUCUUUCAGCAGGGAAGAAGCUUUUGUGACGGUACCUGCAGAAGAAGCACCGGCUAACUACGUGCCAGCAGCCGCGGUAAUACGUGAGGGUGCGAGCGUUGUCCGGAAUUAUUGGGCGUAAAGAGCUUGUAGGCGGUUUGUCGCGUCUGCUGUGAAAAUUCAGGGCUUAACCCUGGACGUGCAGUGGGUACGGGCAGACUAGAGUGUGGUAGGGGAGACUGGAAUUCCUGGUGUAGCGGUGGAAUGCGCAGAUAUCAGGAGGAACACCGAUGGCGAAGGCAGGUCUCUGGGCCAUUACUGACGCUGAGAAGCGAAAGCAUGGGGAGCGAACAGGAUUAGAUACCCUGGUAGUCCAUGCCGUAAACGUUGGGCGCUAGGCGUGGGUCUCAUUCCACGAGAUCCGUGUCGCAGCUAACGCAUUAAGCGCCCCGCCUGGGGAGUACGGCCGCAAGGCUAAAACUCAAAGGAAUUGACGGGGGCCCGCACAAGCGGCGGAGCAUGCUGAUUAAUUCGAUGCAACGCGAAGAACCUUACCAAGGCUUGACAUGCACCGGAUCGCCUCAGAGAUGGGGUUUCCCUUUGGGCUGGUGCACAGGUGGUGCAUGGUUGUCGUCAGCUCGUGUCGUGAGAUGUUGGGUUAAGUCCCGCAACGAGCGCAACCCUCGUUCUAUGUUGCCAGCACGUGAUGGUGGGGACUCAUAGGAGACUGCCGGGGUCAACUCGGAGGAAGGUGGGGAUGACGUCAAAUCAUCAUGCCCCUUAUGUCUUGGGCUUCAAGCAUGCUACAAUGGCCGGUACAGAGGGUUGCGAAACCGUGAGGUGGAGCGAAUCCCAAAAAACCGGUCUCAGUUCGGAUUGGGGUCUGCAACUCGACCCCAUGAAGUCGGAGUCGCUAGUAAUCGCAGAUCAGCAACGCUGCGGUGAAUACGUUCCCGGGCCUUGUACACACCGCCCGUCAAGUCACGAAAGUCGGUAACACCCGAAGACGGUGGCCUAACCCUUGUGGAAGGAGCCGUCUAAGGUGGGACCGGUGAUUGGGACUAAGUCGUAACAAGGUAGCCGUACCGGAAGGUGCGGCUGGAUCACCUC
Molecule: ribosomal RNA, 1511 nt
Filed under: Kytococcus sedentarius
Lineage: Bacteria; Bacillati; Actinomycetota; Actinomycetes; Micrococcales; Kytococcaceae
Description: bacterial SSU rRNA
Rfam family: Bacterial small subunit ribosomal RNA
Source: RNAcentral